RNAcentral lists this ribosomal RNA (253 nucleotides) under uncultured bacterium. RNAcentral's name for it is "partial 16S ribosomal RNA". It matches the Rfam family "Bacterial small subunit ribosomal RNA", at positions 524 to 776 of the family's 1533-position model. The record is from RNAcentral.
UACGGGGGGGGCAAGCGUUGUUCGGAAUUACUGGGCGUAAAGGGCUGGUAGGCGGCCAACUAAGUCGGAUGUGAAAUCCCCAGGCUUAACCUGGGAACUGCAUCCGAUACUGGAUGGCUUGAAUUCGGGAGAGGGAUGCAGAAUUCCAGGUGUAGCGGUGAAAUGCGUAGAUAUCUGGAGGAAUACCGGUGGCGAAGGCGGCAUCCUGGACCGAGAUUGACGCUGAUGAGCGAAAGCUAGGGGAGCAAACGGG